RNA transcript from Panicum hallii, 2281 nucleotides. It is a transcript of the gene named probable long-chain-alcohol O-fatty-acyltransferase 4, with no coding region annotated. The record is from RefSeq and is a predicted model, not a curated record. The transcript is spliced from 7 exons. Lineage: Eukaryota; Viridiplantae; Streptophyta; Magnoliopsida; Poales; Poaceae.
UGGCUUUGAAUUUUCGUCCCAAAAUAAUGUACGUCGCGACACUCGCGGCCGUAAUCUACUACAAGGUGUUCUCUUGGAAGGCUCUCGGUCGUUGAAUUCAACGGCUGCUGCAGUGCUGCCACGACCCGGAGGCGGCGACGGCCGGGCUAGCCGCAGCCAUGGAGCUCCUGCGGGACAGCAUCCCCAUGGUGUCCCUGGCCGUGUCGGCCGCCGCGCUGUACGCGCGCGCCGUGUCCUCGCGCCUCCGCCCGGGCUUCCCCCGCCUCGCCGCGCUGCUCCCGGUGGUCGCGUUCCUCGCCGCGGCGCCCUUGGCCUUCUCCUCCUCCGCCACCACCCGGGGCAUGGCCGCCUUCUUCCUCGCGUGGCUCGGCGUGUUCAAGGUCGCGCUCCUCGCGGCCGGCCUAGGGCCGCUCGACCCCGCCCUCCCCGUGCUCCCGUUCCUCUUCACCGCGGCGCUCCCCGUCAAGCUGAUGACCAAUCGCGGCGGCAGCGGCAGCGGAACCCGCCCCGCCGGCGAAGCAGCAGCGGCGUCCAAGCGGCCCGCACCCGCGUUCCUCGUUUCGUGCGCCGCAAAGGUCGCCGUCGUGGCGGCGCUCCUCCGCGCCUACCGGUUCAAGGACCGGCUGCCCCUCUACGCGCGCCUCGCGAUGUACGGCGUCCACAUGUACUGCUUCUUCGACCUCCUCCUCCCCUGCAUCGCGGCCGCCGCCGGCGCGCUCGGCAUGGAGGCGGAGCCCCAGUUCGACCUGCCGUACCUGGCGUCGUCGCUGCGCGACUUCUGGGGCCGGCGGUGGAACCUCGUGGUGCCCGCGGUGCUGCGCCCGUCGGUCUACGGCCCCGUGCGCGCGCGCGCGGGCAGGGCGGCCGGCGUCCUGGCCACGUUCCUCGUGUCCGGGCUGAUGCACGAGGUCAUGGUGUGCUACCUCACCCUGCGCCCGCCCACCGGGGAGAUGGCGGCGUUCUUCCUGAUCCACGGCGCCUGCUGCGUGGCCGAGGGGUGGUGCGCGGCGAGGGGGUGGCCGCCGACGCCGCCGCGGCCGGUGGCGACUCUGCUCGUGGUGGCGUUCGUUGCGGGCACGGCGUUCUGGCUGUUCUUCCCGCCUAUCAACAGGGACGGAGGGGACGAGGUGCUGCUGGAGGAGUGGACAGCGGUGGCGGCCUUCGUCGGGGACGCCGGCCGGAAGCUGUUCCAGUAACGGGGUCAGUUCUCCGACGCUGAGUGGAGAAGAAAUUAGAGAAAAUCCACCUGAAGAAAGGAAAAAUACGAUUCAAUGGUGAUGAAUGGCGAUGAAAAUUAGGAUGUUACGUGAAGGGAGAUCCGAGUGGAGCAAGCGGGGAGCGAAUCAGCCCCCCAGGUGAGUGAAUCCCUCCUGCUUGCAGCGCGCUCAAAGCCAUGCGCGCGUCCAGUUUUCAUCGGUUUUCAUUUCGUUUUUGGUGGAGGUUAUCGGCGUGCGCUUCUGGAAUCUAGCGAGGCAUCCGCGGGUUGUGGGGGAGGGGGACUGGAAGCUGCAAUUAGACCAGUUUUGCUGUCCUCUCGAGGAUUUGAAUCUGAGGCCACAUUGGAAAGGGGAAACACACCAUCGCGCCCCCCGUAAUUGUUUAAAGUUGAGUUUCUGCUAGGAAACUAUCAUACAUAGUGUUUUUACACACUCCGUAAUUAUUUUCAGGAUCCGCAAUAAGCUAGUGUAGUUGAUUAAGUGCAGUCAUCAUUUUUCCAUGGGGAUCUUGCUGGUUUUUGUUUCCUAGAAUUCAUUUGGUAGGUUGCCUAUGCCAAAUCCACCGGAGUGGUUUGUGGUGUGAGGUGUGAGAUGUUUUGGCAAGGGGAAUAUUUUCUGAUAGGUGGAGGGAUAACAUGAGAUCAUCACCUCUUCUUUGAUUGGGUCGGCACAACAGUGGCAUCAGUUGUUUUGCCGCCGCAACAGUAGCGACAUCUGUCAUCAGUUUGGGCAGGUAAGCAGCUCAUCAAUCCAGCAAGGUUUCAAAUGUCAGGUCACCAAAGUAUUGAACAUGAAUGCAAAUCGGAGGGCAUUUCGAGUAAUUAGAAGCAAAUAUAUUUAGCAGUUGGGAGCACAUAUCGAGUGCAUUUUGCAAUUUGAUUCACAUAGUGCAGCAAUGAAAAUUGUAGGCAAAUCAAUAGGUAACUUCGUAUGUCUGGAAAUUGUGUUCUAAGAUGCAUGAUGCUGCAUGACAUUUAUACGUUCUUUUAUUUCCAUGAGGGGCUGCUGCUGUGUCUUAUGAAGUGCCUGACAAUUUGUCUGUUGCCUGGUAUUUCUUUGUUCUA